AGAAUCAACGCUGGCGGCGUGCCUAACACAUGCAAGUCGAACGAGAAAGUGGAGCAAUCCAUGAGUACAGUGGCGCACGGGUGAGUAACACGUGACUAACCUACCCUUGAGUGGGGGAUAACUGAGGGAAACCUUAGCUAAUACCGCAUAAUACCUACGGGUCAAAGGAGCAAUUCGCUUAAGGAGGGGGUCGCGGCCGAUUAGCUAGUUGGCGGGGUAACGGCCCACCAAGGCGAAGAUCGGUAGCCGGCCUGAGAGGGCGCACGGCCACACUGGAACUGAAACACGGUCCAGACUCCUACGGGAGGCAGCAGUGGGGAAUUUUGCGCAAUGGGGGAAACCCUGACGCAGCAACGCCGCGUGGAGGAUGAAGUCCCUUGGGACGUAAACUCCUUUCGACCGGGACGAUAAUGACGGUACCGGUGGAAGAAGCCCCGGCUAACUUCGUGCCAGCAGCCGCGGUAAUACGAGGGGGGCAAGCGUUGUUCGGAAUUAUUGGGCGUAAAGGGCGCGUAGGCGGUGCGGUAAGUCACCUGUGAAACCUCUGGGCUUAACUCAGAGCCUGCAGGCGAAACUGCCGUGCUGGAGGGUGGGAGAGGUGCGUGGAAUUCCCGGUGUAGCGGUGAAAUGCGUAGAUAUCGGGAGGAACACCUGUGGCGAAAGCGGCGCACUGGACCACUACUGACGCUGAGGCGCGAAAGCCGGGGGAGCAAACAGGAUUAGAUACCCUGGUAGUCCCGGCCCUAAACGAUGAUUGCUUGGUGUGAUCGGUACCCAAUCCGAUUGUGCCGCAGCUAACGCGAUAAGCAAUCCGCCUGGGGAGUACGGUCGCAAGGCUGAA
RNAcentral lists this ribosomal RNA (841 nucleotides) under uncultured soil bacterium. RNAcentral describes it as "bacterial SSU rRNA". It matches the Rfam family "Bacterial small subunit ribosomal RNA", at positions 26 to 898 of the family's 1533-position model. The record is from RNAcentral.